Molecule: ribosomal RNA, 460 nt
Filed under: uncultured bacterium
Lineage: Bacteria
Description: partial 16S ribosomal RNA
Rfam family: Bacterial small subunit ribosomal RNA
Source: RNAcentral
CCUACGGGAGGCAGCAGUGAGGAAUAUUGGUCAAUGGCCGGAAGGCUGAACCAGCCAUGCCGCGUGAAGGUCAGUGCCCUAUGGGCGUUAAACUUCUUUUGUGCGGGAGCAAUAAUGGUCACGUGUGGCCAGACGAGAGUACCGUACGAAUAAGCAUCGGCUAACUCCGUGCCAGCAGCCGCGGUAAUACGGGGGAUGCAAGCGUUUUCCGGAUUUAUUGGGUUUAAAGGGUGCGUAGGCUGUGAGGUAAGGCAGCGGGGAAAUGCCCCCGCUCAACGGGGUGAAGUGCCAUUGAUACUGCCUUGCUGGAAUGCGGAUGCCGUGGGAGGAAUGUGUGGUGUAGCGGUGAAAUGCAUAGAUAUCACACAGAACACCGAUUGCGAAGGCAUCUCACGAAUCCGCGAUUGACGCUGAUGCACGAAAGCGUGGGUAUCAAACAGGAUUAGAUACCCGAGUAGUC